CCCAGCCUUCCCGGCCCCGACGUCGGGAGGCGGCACUGAGGCAGCUGGGACCUCGGCCCUUCCCGGCUUGCAGCCCCAACUCCGAAUGCCCUGCGCGCCCCACACUUUGGGCCCUCCAGGCCCUUCCCCAUCCCAGAGCCUGCGGGGUGGGGCGCGGGGCAGGGCGUUCAACCACAUCCACGGCCGGGAACUGGGAGCCGCCGCAGCCGCGCCCAGCCCUCAGCUGGGGCCCAGCGGGCACGUGGUGCACAGGAGCAGGAACUGGAACCGCGCGCCCGCAGGGGAGUCGGACACCUGCUGCCACAGGCUGAACCGACCGGCGGUUUCCGUCUUAACCGUUUCCUCCGCGGUGGGAGUGAGCGCUGGGCGGCGGCGGAGGGCUGGGGCCAGAGAAAGGAAGGAUCCGAGGGACUGCCCAGUCGGGCAGCACCGAGCGCCUGCUAGUCUGUACCCCUCUGCUGUGUAUUUGGGGGUGGGUAAGACAACUGAGAGGAGGUGGGAGAGAUUCGGGACCCGGCUGACCCAAGGAGCAGCUCAGUAACGAACACCCGGGCCAAGAGCCGGCAAAGGAAGAAAGAUGGAGGUCUACAAAUAGAAACCCCAACUGCAAGAGGCCUAUCCCAGGCAAGGCCUGCUUGGAGAGCCAGGAUGGGCUGAAUUCUUAGAUGGCAACCAGAACAAACAUUCGAUCUGCCAGGCAAGAAGCCAAGCAAUGACUGCCAAGCUGACCCGGAAAAAGAGGCCCUGGGCUCCUAACAGGGUGAUGGGAGGGGUCCUCUGAGAAGGGCAGGGACAAGGAGCCACGGGUUUGGAUCCUGGAGAUGAAGCUAGCAAUGGAUUAUACACAAACGGAAGGAGGAAGAGGAUCUGGUCACAGCUGUCCCGUGCACAGAAACCCAGAAACUGGCUCGUCCAUGUCAAAGGAGAAGCAAAGAUGAACACAAGAAUCUCAGAACGUCCAGGAACUACAGCCUUCAGCUGGCCACCUGCAUCCCUCUGUCACAAAGGGUAACUAGUGGGUCAGCACAGCCUGCAAGACACAGGGAGCCUCCCGAUGCAGCACCAGAUCCCAGGGCCGGCUGAGCUGAUGCGGGGGUGGGGGACAGGAUGGCGUGCAUGGGCACCCUGAGGCUCACUGGGAUUCUGGGCCUAAGCAAAGACCAGCUCCAGGAACUCGAUAGACAGAGCCUGAGCAGGUGACAUGCCCGCCUGAGCCCGGUAGCUUCUCAGGUAGCAGGCUGGCGUCAGGGGGCUUUAUCAGACCAGAGAAGAACAGCCGGGACGGGACUCCAGAGCAGAGGCCACUGGGGAAAGUCAGGAGCUUAUGAGGCGAGGAAAGGAGGAAAAUGAAAGAAUUCCACCAAGAAGUAGGCAUGAAGACAGGAGUUUCGGUUUGCAAAUGACAUUAGCUUUUGCUACCAGUCCCAGGGAAGGUGGAGCCUGGCUAUUACUCAGCUAGAGGGAGGCAGAGGUCUAGGAAGAGCCCCUUGCCCUGCCCAGGCCAUGAGACCCAGCUGUUUCGGAAAACCCCAGUACCGUGCCCUCCCUCUCUCCCGCUAUUUGCCAUCAGUGGGAAGAGAAGGCAUGCUAGCAGAGGUGAACCAGAGUGUAGGCAGGCGCGAGCAGGAGGUGAGAAAAUAACCAGGAGGCCAGCAGGUGGUGUGGUGGUUAAGGGCACUGAACUCCCACAGGGGAGACUAUUCAAGCCCCAGACCUGGCUGCUUGCUUUCUCUCUCUCUCACUCUGUCCCCCUCUGAUCAAAUUAAAGUAAGUAGAUAAAUAAUUUAAAAAGAAGAAAGUAACUAUGAACAGCUCUUCAAGUGGGAAUGCAGCCUGCGGACAUGUAAAUGGCUAAGAGAUGGCUGUCUCAGUGAAGUGUCCCCUUCAGGAGAAAACCGGAAAUGGCACGGGAGGAGGGGCCCAGUGCGCGCCCAGAUGCAGGGCCCUCGGCCCUGAGAAGUGAUCCUCCCCACCCCUCAACCUGCUCCCCACUGGCAGGCUGACUGCCUGCGAGGGCCAAGCAGCGUCCGGCAGGGAGGCUCAGCCCGAGUCCUUGCGCUUAUGCACGUCUUCUACAGCACAGCCGGGUCCUGUCUACAGCACUGGGACGAGACAAACCCAGGACAGGCUUUCGAGGAAGGCCAUCCUCUCCGGCAGCUGCCAGCAUGUUAAUUCGUUAAAAACAAAAACCAGAAUUCCCAAUUCAGACUUAUUCUCUGUGCAAUAUUUAACAAGGCCUAUGAAGUAUGUCAAUUUUACUGUUUUGUAUGCAUGCAACCCUGGAUACUUUUAAAAAUCAUUAUUUCACUUGCUCCUCAUAAACUUGUGAGAAACCUGCAAAGUGAGUUACUCUCAUCUCUUUUUUUUGGAGAGG
Molecule: long non-coding RNA, 2374 nt
Organism: Tupaia belangeri chinensis (Chinese tree shrew)
Lineage: Eukaryota; Metazoa; Chordata; Mammalia; Scandentia; Tupaiidae
Exons: 3
Source: RefSeq, a predicted model, not a curated record